AGAGAUGAGAAUGCAAAUCAGCCAGAGGAGUCAUUGAGGACAGUUAUGUACCUAAGCUGCUGGGGUCCAAAUUAAGGCCAAUAGCAAUUUAUGUAUGGGGCUAUAUUGUAUAGUUUGUAUGUUGGAAACAUUGCUUGACCAUUAAUUGUUUGUGUCAAGUAAUAUUCAUGUAAAUUUUGAUCAAUGAUAUGUUUCAACAUUUCUAAAUUUUGUGUUCUUUAAUUUUGUAUUUUUUUUAUUUAUCAAACUUGUCUGGUUUAAAAAGCAAAAAGGCUCAAAUUUUUCA
This 286-nucleotide long non-coding RNA is filed under the name Trifolium pratense (red clover). RNAcentral describes it as "long non-coding RNA (TPRA_LNC008090)". The record is from RNAcentral. Lineage: Eukaryota; Viridiplantae; Streptophyta; Magnoliopsida; Fabales; Fabaceae.